GAUGAAGAACGUAGCGAAAUGCGAUAAGUAGUGUGAAUUGCAGAAUUCCGUGAAUCAUCGAAUCUUUGAACGCACAUUGCGCCCGCCAGUAUUCUGGCGGGCAUGCCUGUCUGAGCGUCAUUUCAACCCUCAUGCCCCUAGGGCGUGGUGUUGGGGAUCGGCCAAAGCCCGCGAGGGACGGCCGGCCCCUAAAUCUAGUGGCGGACCCGUCGUGGCCUCCUCUGCGAAGUAGUGAUAUUCCGCAUCGGAGAGCGAUGAGCCCCUGCCGUUAAACCCCCAACUUUCCAAGGUUGACCUCAGAUCAGGUAGGAAUACCCGCUGAACUUAAGCAUAUCAAUAAGCGGAGGA
Molecule: unclassified non-coding RNA, 348 nt
Filed under: soil metagenome
Description: partial contains 5.8S ribosomal RNA, internal transcribed spacer 2, and large subunit ribosomal RNA
Rfam family: 5.8S ribosomal RNA (bases 1-120)
Source: RNAcentral